CAAAGUAUAGUUAAAUUAGUCUAACGUUUCAUUUACAUUGAAAAAAAUUAUCGUGCAAAUCGAUUUACUUUGA
RNAcentral lists this transfer RNA (73 nucleotides) under Parasesarma tripectinis. RNAcentral describes it as "tRNA-Val". The record is from RNAcentral. Lineage: Eukaryota; Metazoa; Arthropoda; Malacostraca; Decapoda; Sesarmidae.